This 253-nucleotide ribosomal RNA is filed under the name uncultured bacterium. RNAcentral's name for it is "partial 16S ribosomal RNA". It matches the Rfam family "Bacterial small subunit ribosomal RNA", at positions 524 to 776 of the family's 1533-position model. The record is from RNAcentral.
UACGUAGGGGGCAAGCGUUGUCCGGAUUUAUUGGGCGUAAAGAGCGUGUAGGCGGCCAAGCAGGUCAGCUGUGAAAACUCGAGGCUCAACCUCGAGACGUCGGUUGAAACCGCUUGGCUAGAGUCCGGAAGAGGAGAGUGGAAUUCCCGGUGUAGCGGUGAAAUGCGCAGAUAUCGGGAAGAACACCCGUGGCGAAGGCGGCUCUCUGGGGCGGUACUGACGCUGAGACGCGAAAGCGUGGGGAGCGAACAGG